GGCUUGCUGGUCUAGUGGUAUGAUUCUCGCUUUGGGUGCGAGAGGUCACGGGUUCGAUUCCCGUGCAAGCCC
RNAcentral lists this transfer RNA (72 nucleotides) under Dendronephthya gigantea. RNAcentral's name for it is "tRNA-Pro". It matches the Rfam family "tRNA". From Rfam's summary of the family: Transfer RNA (tRNA) molecules are approximately 80 nucleotides in length. Their secondary structure includes four short double-helical elements and three loops (D, anti-codon, and T loops). RNAcentral also lists the same sequence under 1 other name. Lineage: Eukaryota; Metazoa; Cnidaria; Anthozoa; Malacalcyonacea; Nephtheidae. The record is from RNAcentral.